UGAAGAGGAAAAGUGGGUUGAAGUUGCCUCAAUGAAAGUGCCUAGAGCAGGCAUGUGUGUUGUGGCAGUCAAUGGUCUUCUGUAUGUUUCUGGAGGUCGAUCUUCCAGCCAUGAUUUUUUGGCUCCAGGUACCUUGGACUCAGUUGAAGUUUAUAACCCUCAUUCAGAUACAUGGACAGAAAUUGGUAACAUGAUCACCAGUCGUUGUGAAGGGGGCGUUGCUGUGCUAUGAAAUAUAAAGCAUAACAGAGCACAAGGAACAUUUUGAAAAUGCAGGACCUGACCUUUUGCAAAGCAAACAUAGAUUUGGUGAUAAGACCCUCUGAUUCUAUGAGUUUUCCAUGUAUUUGGUAGAUAAAUGACUAACGAGGCUGGGCGCAGUGGCCUCAUGCCUAUAAUCCCAGCACUUUGGAAGGCUGAGGCAGAAGGAUCACUUGAGCCCAGGAAUUUGAGGUUGUAGUGAGCUGAGAUCAUACCACUGUGUUCUAGCCUGGGCCAUAGAGCAAGACUUUGUCUCAAAAAAAAAUAAAACAAAAAAUAUUUGGUUUAGUCUACAACUAUACCUUCCUUAUAACUUAACCAUAUGCAUUUAUUAGGAAAAGUUUAUGUAAUGCAGACAGGAAGCUCUAUGUUCCCUUCUCUGGGGCAUCCUGAACGUCUGAAGGGUCACAGAUGUCUGUGUAGAGAUCUGUAAGAUGUCAAAGAAUAAAGAUAAUUUAUAGACUAA
RNAcentral lists this small RNA (727 nucleotides) under Pan troglodytes (chimpanzee). Its description in RNAcentral is "processed transcript". Lineage: Eukaryota; Metazoa; Chordata; Mammalia; Primates; Hominidae. The record is from RNAcentral.